UUUGUUGUAUCACGAACAGAAAUGACUGUGUUUAUUUCAAGGUCUUGGUUUCAGAUACAAAGUCAUCAAGUGGCAGCACUGUGAUUAAAUUGUCAUGAAGUAGGAAGAUUCUCUAAAAAAAUGGUGUCAGCAUGGCUUGUUCUAGCAAGUUAGAAGCAAGCAAGAUGAGCUAGCUGUUCAAGACUAAAAACAAAACGUGCUGAGAGGUCCUCCGGCAUCGCAGGACAUUAAGGCUAUGAUAGGGCUCCUGGAGCUCUGUGUUGCAGAGAUUCAAGGGGGCUUCUGGGCGGAACAGCGUUUUCAUCCACCGCUUCGAUGGAGGCAGAGCUCCUACGUUUAGGACUUCGGGUUGGAUGUGGUUCUGAGAGAAAGUGCCUUCAGACAGAGCCCUCAGAGGGGUAGUGAUCUGACAGAAAAAUACAUGCUAGAUCACUCCUCUUGAGGACAUCCUUGAGGCUACACAAAAACCCUCAACCGCUCUUACGGCCUCUCUCUUAAGGGUCACGCUCUGUUCUUUCUGAGUGUGGGCUUCUACAGUUCUGCCUAAUAAAUCUCUUUAUGCUUCU
RNAcentral lists this long non-coding RNA (566 nucleotides) under Chinchilla lanigera (long-tailed chinchilla). RNAcentral's name for it is "lncRNA (ENSCLAG00000027667.1)". Lineage: Eukaryota; Metazoa; Chordata; Mammalia; Rodentia; Chinchillidae. The record is from RNAcentral.